RNAcentral lists this unclassified non-coding RNA (336 nucleotides) under soil metagenome. Its description in RNAcentral is "partial contains 5.8S ribosomal RNA, internal transcribed spacer 2, and large subunit ribosomal RNA". The stretch from base 1 to 121 matches the Rfam family "5.8S ribosomal RNA", at positions 35 to 154 of the family's 154-position model. The record is from RNAcentral.
GAUGAAGAACGCAGCGAAAUGCGAUAAGUAAUGCGAAUUGCAGAAUUUCCGUGAGUCAUCGAAUCUUUGAACGCACAUUGCGCCCACUGGUAUUCUGGCGGGCAUGCCUGUUCGAGCGUCAUUUCAACCAUCAAGCCCUGUGCUUGUGUUGGAGCCCUGCGGCUGCCGCAGGCUCCCAAACCCAGUGGCGGGCUCGUCGUCGUACCGAGUGCAGUAAACAUACCACGCUCAGGGCACGCGACGGGUGACCGGCCGUAAAACCCCCCCCCUUCUCAAGGUUGACCUCGGAUCAGGUAGGAAUACCCGCUGAACUUAAGCAUAUCAAUAAGCGGAGGA